GUUGCUGAGUGUCAUUCUGAACAAUUGAAAAUGGUCAAUCUAUCCUUGAAAUGUAAUGUAAAACCAAUUGCUUUUCUUCUAAGACAUUGCUGCCAACCAAAACACCAAGAUGCUAACGGAGCUACUCAUGGAGGUGAAGCAAAUGUCACGGGACAUUCAGUUCAUAAAGACUGAAAUUGCCAAAUCCUCCAUGAAUAUUCCUGGAGCGGGAUCACAGAGAGAGGAGCCCUUCCCCAUUGUUCUGCCACUCGCCAAUGAGGAGCAGUUUGAUGAGGCUGAAGCUGCACUGAAGGAGGAAUCAGUCCGUCGAAAGAUGGUGAACCAUUUUUUCUUACAAGUAUUUUCUUACAUUUUGUCAGGAAUUGUAGGUUUGGAGGCAUUAAAGGGAUAGUUUGGAUUUUUGGACAAGAGGUCGUAUUACAUCCUCAUCAGCGGUGUCGGGCAUCAGCAGUGACUUUUCCCCCACUGCGUCCUGUGCGCGGAGUUCUGGCCCGGUUUUUGCGCUGCAGAAAGUAGUUUUGCUUCAAAAAAUAAUAUGCAUUCAAAAGAGUAAUACAUUUGCAUCACAAAUUGUUGGCCGUAAAAAAGUCUGACCUCAUCCGGCACUAUUUUCCCUCCCUUCAUAUUACUGCGCGUACCUUUUCAUCAGCUGAAGGAGGCAAAAGGAGACCGCUACGACGCUUCUCUCGCUGUCCAUUUGACAUGGCACAUUGUACACUUUAGCAAACUAACCAUUUUCUCUCUAAUCUGUUAAGAUUACCCGCUUGGCAUUAGUCGGAGGGACCAAUGCCGAAAAUAUGAUCUGGCGAAUGCUAUCCGCUACCAUGGCAAACCGUGUAGCAUGCAUUUUCAACUGGGCGGGAAAGGGACCGAAGAGGGCCUUCAAGGACACGUUAAUGCAGGACUGCAUGUUUGUUGACAGAAUUGCAGUACAGGGGUGCCCUGCAGAAGUGGCUGCGUUACGCACCGGAGAGGAGUGGCGGAGUACCAAGAAAAGGCAAAGAUUAAGGACUAUUAAGGACAAAUGUUACUGUAAUGUUCUAAUUACAGGGUUAAUUAUAGGGUUAAUGUUCAUAAUUCCUUAAGAUGUUAAGAUGUUUGUUUAUAAUUGCUUUUCAAUAUUUAUUAAAUAACUUUUUGAAUAAUGGUCUGUUUUGUUGUUGUUGUUUUUUUGUUCAUAGAGCAUUCAAUAAAGCAGCUGUUCUCAACCUUGGUUUCUUAAAAAGAA
Gadus macrocephalus (Pacific cod) is the source of this 1228-nucleotide long non-coding RNA. RefSeq lists it as uncharacterized. The record is from RefSeq and is a predicted model, not a curated record. The transcript is spliced from 2 exons. Lineage: Eukaryota; Metazoa; Chordata; Actinopteri; Gadiformes; Gadidae.